GGGGCCCUGACGUAUUCGCCAGACUUACAGUCCUCGAGCCGAUAUUAUGACCCCGGGGGUUUCUCGCUUCUGUUGGUGUGCAUGUCCGGCGCAGUCCGGAAAGCCUUAUACAGUUCAGGAACCACCACCUUGAACCGUCGGGUUCAAGGGCAGUUCUGUCAGCGGUACGCCGGGAACCCC
Molecule: non-coding RNA, 180 nt
Filed under: Candidatus Marimicrobium litorale
Lineage: Bacteria; Pseudomonadati; Pseudomonadota; Gammaproteobacteria; Cellvibrionales; Halieaceae
Description: 6S RNA
Rfam family: 6S / SsrS RNA
About the family: E. coli 6S RNA was the first non coding RNA to be sequenced, but its function was unknown until recently. It consists of 184 nucleotides that fold into an extended hairpin structure with a large single-stranded internal bulge.
Source: RNAcentral